GCAUCCAUGUCUUGUAUUUGGAAUGAAAUGACAACAAACCUUUCUAUGAGUAUCAAUUGGAGGGCAAGUCUGGUGCCAGCAGCCGCGGUAAUUCCAGCUCCAAUAGCGUAUAUUAAAAUUGUUGCGGUUAAAAAGCUCGUAGUUGAAUUUCUGUUGAGGGUGGUUGGUCCGCCCUCUGGGUGAGUAUCUGACACAACCUGAACAUUUUCUUGAUUGCACAACUGUACUUGACUGUGUGGGGUGGUGUUGAGAAGGUUUACUUUGAGGAAAUCAGCGUGUUUCAAGCAAGUCUUGCUUUGAAUACAUUAGCAUGGAAUAAUAUUCAAGGACCUUUGUUCUAUUUUGUUGGUUUCUGGAAUGAAGGUAAUGAAAAAUAGGGAUAGUUGGGGGUAUUUGUAUUUAAUUGUCAAAGGUGAAAUUCUUGGAUUUAUUAAAAACAAACUAUUGCGAAAGCAUUUGCCAAGGAUGUUUUCAUUGAUCAAAAACGAAAGUUAGGGGAUCGAAAACAAUCAAAUACCGUCCUAGUCUUAACCAUAAACUAUGCCAACUAGAGAUUGAACGUUGUUAUUUGCAUGACAUUUUCAGCACCUUAUGAAAAAUUGAAGUCUUUGGGUUCCGGGGGAAGUAUGGUCGCAAGGCUGAAACUUAAAGGAAUUGACGGAAGGGCACCACCAGGAGUGGAGCCUGCGGCUUAAUUUGACUCAACCACGG
This 711-nucleotide ribosomal RNA is filed under the name Coolia sp. ind-1. Its description in RNAcentral is "SSU rRNA". It matches the Rfam family "Eukaryotic small subunit ribosomal RNA", at positions 492 to 1208 of the family's 1831-position model. The record is from RNAcentral. Lineage: Eukaryota; Dinophyceae; Peridiniales; Ostreopsidaceae.